GAUCUUGAUAUCUAAACCAGCGGUUAAUUAAUUGUUCACUUAAAGGGGUCAGCAUCCUGCCAUGUGGCAGGACAUCAGGUUGGACCGAGCUAUAUUCGAAAUUGUGGGAGGCUGGGUUGAGCCAAGUCGUGUUCGAAGUGGCGUGAGGUUAGUUGGGCCAAAUCAAAAUCGAAACCCGUGAGCGCUAUGUUUGUAUACUUUAAAUGAAUUUAGUUAUGUAUUUCUAAAAAUUAGAGUCUCUGAGAUUAUUGGUUAGCACCAACGAUCUGACGUUAGCUACCGAGACUACAGAAGUAUG
This 298-nucleotide long non-coding RNA is filed under the name Ananas comosus (pineapple). Its description in RNAcentral is "long non-coding RNA (ACOM_LNC006158)". The record is from RNAcentral. Lineage: Eukaryota; Viridiplantae; Streptophyta; Magnoliopsida; Poales; Bromeliaceae.